CAACGGCGAGAGAAGCUCGGCUGGGAUUGCGAUACGGGGUGAGACAGUCACAUGGGCUCCGGGAGAGAGGGGGUCUGAACGCCCGAGUUGGAGUAUCUAUGCAGACCUUCCUGAUAACAAAUAACUAGGAGGAUAAGGGGUUCCUCCUGACCUGAGGCAGAAAGACGGGAGGAACUGUCUGCUUUGCGAGGUCAGCCAAAAUCUCCCCGCCACCGGGCCCCUAGGGUUUUUAUUAUCAACUUGGGGCUAGAACUCAAAAUCAGCUCCAUCUACAGGGAAAGGUUCCUGUUGUCACCAAGGGCAUGCAUCUUUGCAUCUUCUCUCCAGGCUCCAGUCUCAACACCUGCUGAUGUUCUUUAUAGAGGAAUGGAGUCUAAGACCGAAAGAGAAAAGCUAAAAUGAGGUGGGUUGUGAUUUUCCCAGAGAGAGAAUCUUGGUAAAGGCAAAAGCCAUAAAGACAUCAUAGAGAAAAGAAUCUUGUUGAAUGCUUAGCCUUCAAGACUGACCCUGGAUCCGUGUCAGCUUAGCCCUCUGGUUCUGGGUAACUGGUAAGAAUUGCUAUUUGUGUAUAUGUCA
This 576-nucleotide long non-coding RNA is filed under the name Vombatus ursinus (common wombat). RNAcentral describes it as "lncRNA (ENSVURG00010009442.1)". Lineage: Eukaryota; Metazoa; Chordata; Mammalia; Diprotodontia; Vombatidae. The record is from RNAcentral.